UAGGCGGACGGGUGAGUAACGCGUGGGUAACCUACCCUGUACAGGGGGAUAACAGUUAGAAAUGACUGCUAAUACCGCAUAAGCGCACAGUGCUGCAUGGCACAGUGUGAAAAACUCCGGUGGUAUGAGAUGGACCCGCGUCUGAUUAGCUAGUUGGUGGGGUAACGGCCUACCAAGGCGACGAUCAGUAGCCGGCCUGAGAGGGUGAACGGCCACAUUGGGACUGAGACACGGCCCAAACUCCUACGGGAGGCAGCAUG
RNAcentral lists this ribosomal RNA (260 nucleotides) under uncultured bacterium. Its description in RNAcentral is "partial 16S ribosomal RNA". It matches the Rfam family "Bacterial small subunit ribosomal RNA", at positions 95 to 353 of the family's 1533-position model. The record is from RNAcentral.